RNAcentral lists this unclassified non-coding RNA (481 nucleotides) under Hevea brasiliensis (rubber tree). Lineage: Eukaryota; Viridiplantae; Streptophyta; Magnoliopsida; Malpighiales; Euphorbiaceae. The record is from RNAcentral.
AACCUAAUGCUGUAAUUUGGAGGAUUCUGCUGGGGGCUUGUAGAAUAUAUGGAAACGUUAAGCUGGGCAGGCAUGCACAUGAGAAACUACUUGAAAUGAGGAGGGAUAAGAAGGGGGAUUAUCUGUUACUUUCCAAUAUAUAUGCUGCAUUAGGUGAGUGGGAUGGGGCUCAGAACGUGAGGAAGUUAAUGGACAAUAGUGGAGUGAGGGAAAAGCCUGGCUGUAGCCUAAUUGAAGCAGAUGAAAGUGCUCGUCUGCCAUUUUUGUUUGAUUCUGAAUACAAGUUAAAUUUGAGAAAUCAAAUACCAUGUGCUGUAUCUUGGUAAGAAAUGCUCUCAUGUCACUCUCUUUCAUGCUAAUGGCUUGGUGCAUCAAACCAAUAGUAAUAUGCUAAUUAUAAUAUUCAAAUAAAAAUAAAUACAAUUCAACUAUUCUUGUAAGUACAAUAUGUGGAUAAAAGAUAACAUCAUGGUCGUAUUCA